CUGACCUGUGGUUGUGCCUGCUUUCAUCUCAUCCAUCCUUUCAUGUUUUCGGAUUACGGUGCUGUGGGAGGCCAACCUAAGGUGUUUAAUGAAUACUAUUAUUUUAUAAGCUUCUCUUAAAUAGUUAGACAAAUAUUCUGUAAUCCUUUGGACUCAUCCUAGGUCAACCACAUAGUUAAUGGACAAUGAUAACAAACAAGUUGAAAUUGAAGCUUUGGGGAAAAUGCCCCUUCCUUCAUCACACGCACGUGUGCGCACAUGCACAGUCUGAAGCACGACAGACACGGUAUAGAAGAAAUACAACACUCUGUCAUGGAUAUCUUACACAACUCCAGUCCUGCAGAUGUAGUUUGGAAUUCUGAAGCAUUAUUCAAGUGAGUCCCUACAUAGGUUGUCCUCCAAAAGAACCUGCGUGUAGAUCCUGACAGGAGCAACAGAGAAACCUGUGGGGUCAUCGUUCAAGAUGCUAGUCUGUGUUGUCUGGAAGUCAAUGUACAGGGGUGACUAGUGAAUGAACAAGGAAAUCUGCCAAAAAUAGCUGUGGUGACGUGGAUGGAACUGAUUUCUUCAGCCUCAUGGGUUCAACCAGACUGCAUACAUUAGGGAAAUACUAUGUUUUGGCAUACUGGGAGAGUUUCCAUGCUACUGGCUUCUGCUUCUGACAAUAGAGAUUUGUACAUCGAUGCUGUGCUCGCCAGCUGGUCCGUGGGAUUUGCGUUAUGCUAUUUGUUUGGAUGGAUGCGUUCCUGUAAAGAGAUGAUGUCGCGUUUUUCAGCCGGCACAGGAGAUCAGAACCAUCAUAACCCCUUCUCCGCCAGCCUUGAAGUCGGUACAAAUCUAUCUGUACAUUUGGGGGAAAAUAAUUUAAAUGCUGCGAGUUACGGGGUAAUUAAUCUUUGAACUAUUUUCCAACUUCAAAUGUAUUUACUAAGCAAUCUGCAUGAACCUGUGAUUACUGCGUAUUUGUGAGGUAUUUUCCAUGUAAUCACAAAGCAGUUACACGGUCAUAGGAAUCUUGUAAAUUAUAACGAUAGCGGGGGAAGCGGCGGGAGGGGGGAGCUCUGCUGCUCGCACUAAAAAGCUUUUCCAGAAAUCUUUGGAAUUCUCUUCAGUGAAAUCGCCUGAGACGGCAGAGAAAGCACGUCCUUUGGAGAUUACUAGAAUUUCUGCCAACAAAAGGGGAUCCGAUAUCCAUGUACGGUUCAGCUGGAUGGAGGGGGAGAAGGGAGCGGAGAUAGCGGCAAUUUAUUAUUAUUAUUAUUAUUUAAUCCAUUGUUUGAAUGGUGAAUCACUAAUUUAAAAGUUGCUGCGAUUUUUUUUUUCACUGCAGUUUGCAGGCUGCUGAAAGCUCAACAGCCAUUCAGGCUUCAAAGACAAAAGGGAGAUUUCCCUCUUUAAUCUUCGCCGAUGUUCCCUCACUCAACCCAUCUUGGCUGGAAGCUCUCUGGAGCAGCGCACACAGCGCUCGCCAAUGCGCGGAGCCGUGCGCUCCUGGUGCUAAUAAAGCCAUCGCUCCGGCACGGCAGGUCGGGUGAUUACUGCCUCUGGUAAAUGCUUGUGAGACAAUAAGCAGACAUAGGGAGAAAUGAACUGAUCGAGGUGAGCAAGAGGAUGGGGUGGAUGAGAAACGCGGGGUGGGAGAGCCUCGGCAAUACGUUCACCCAGGGGAACCUCACCCUGCUGGUGGAUUCCCGACCCACGCUCUUAUCUCUCUGCAGAGCCCGCAGUGAAAAGCCAAUGCUGUUCAGGAAGCUUUUUCCUUACAGAUGAGAUAUAAAACCAAUGCCUGCCUAACCACUUAUGUACAUUAAUGAUCCCCCAGUGCUCUCCAAAAGAGGAAAAAUAUUAACCCAGGCAUCAUAAUAAUAUGCUGCUUGCUUAUAAGCCCUGUACAAUUUAAAUUCAAUCUGGUGUGAUGUUAUUUCUGACUUCCUGACCCAAAUUGGUGUGCGUGCAGCUCUGAGCUGUUAAGCAGAUGAUUGUUCCAUCCCAGCAGCAGAUCCAUCUCUCCGAUGCCUUGGAAGGAUUUCUCGGCCUGCGUUGCAGAGAGCCUCUGUUGAAAAAUGUGCCGCAUGUCAAACCGUUGGCUGAGCACAGCACAUCAUCCAUGGGGCCAUUUUUACUGUACACACACAUCCUUCGUUUCCUACGAACACACCACUGCCAGAGACUGCAGAUGGAGAAAGGCUCUCAAAUCCCUCUGUUGGUAAAAAGGCGAAAAUGCUCCAGACGGAUUUUCCUCUCCUUUUCCACCUACCCACAGCUCCUUCAGACAGCGUCCUCCCUAUGCAGCAAAUGCAGUCCUGUGAAGGUCAGGGUUGGUGAUAGGCCCGUGUUUUGCUGCUGUGUGCUCAGGUGCAGAAGGUAUGGGAACCCUCCUGGUCCCACCCUGUCUGGGUUUCCCUGGGAGAGCCCUGGUGCCAGGACCUGCACCCCGGAGCUGCUCACACCCUACCUGCUCCGCAAAUGAGCAGAGCCAAAGCAGAUGGCUUUGUGGAGCAUAAAACAAAACAGAGAGAUCUGUGGUGGCUGCAGAAAUACUGCCCUGGCUCUCCCCUGCGUGAUCAGGGGAUGGCAGGGCUCUCCUGCUCUGGGCAGCUGGGUGAGCCCCUAGAAGCUGGAGCUGCUGGAAGAGCUGGCUGCUGACCGACCUCCUGCAUGCCCAAUCCCAGCUCUGCGCUUGCAUUUGUGUUGCAGCAGUGUUUUCCUGGGAGCCAAACAAAACAGUUGUUCAUGAGCCACUCAGAGUAUGUGCUGGGGCAUGAAGGAGGUGUCAGUUUGUCCUAAUUAGUAAUUGCAACAGACUCACUUUGGUGUAGUGUCCUGCUAAAAGGAAUGGUAUGAAGGAUCUUGUCAUCAUUCCUCUGGAAAGUAAAGUAGUCCUCCCCAGUCCGUGGUCCCAAGCAGAGUUUGCUUGCUGAUACAUGAUCAUGGGCAAUGAAAUGAGCUCCAAUCUCCAUUUACGAGCUUUUACAAUCAAUGGUAUGGUUAAAGAUUGCAUGAUAACCAUGCUGGGAAACUUCUGUUUCUUACUCCCCUGUUUUCAGUUGCAGAUAUUUUAUAAUUCAAUGCUGGACUUGUACAUAAUACUUCAGUACCAUUCAUGCAGGUGGCUCCAAUAAAUUUAGAAACUUUUUUUGUGGUAUUUGCAGCUGACUAAUUUUUCCGUGUUGUUUUUCCUUCUCCUUUAUUAUAAAAGUGUAACUCAGUAUCAUUCAUGACAACUAGAAAUGAAGCCAGGCAAAGAUCAGACUUUGGACCUCUCAGACACAAUGAUGUUAAAAUCUCAGAUUUUGAAUUAAACCAGAGUAUAAUUUAGAUUUUGUAUCCUCUC
This is a long non-coding RNA of Gallus gallus (chicken), 3334 nucleotides long. NCBI's taxonomy places the organism in Eukaryota, Metazoa, Chordata, Aves, Galliformes, Phasianidae. The record is from Ensembl.